UACGGAGGAUCCGAGCGUUAUCCGGAUUUAUUGGGCGUAAAGGGUUCGCAGGCGGCCUUGUAAGUCAGAUGUGAAAGACAGCGGCUUAACCGCUGUAAGCAUUUGAAACUGCAGGGCUUGAGUACAGGAGAGGAAAGCGGAAUUCCAUGUGUAGCGGUGAAAUGCGUAGAGAUAUGGAGGAACACCAGUGGCGAAGGCGGCUUCCUGGUCUGUAACUGACACUGAGGCGCGAAAGCGUGGGGAGCAAACAGGAUUAGAUACCU
RNAcentral lists this ribosomal RNA (263 nucleotides) under uncultured prokaryote. Its description in RNAcentral is "partial 16S ribosomal RNA". It matches the Rfam family "Bacterial small subunit ribosomal RNA", at positions 524 to 787 of the family's 1533-position model. The record is from RNAcentral.